This 979-nucleotide long non-coding RNA is filed under the name Selaginella moellendorffii. RNAcentral's name for it is "long non-coding RNA (SMOE_LNC000131)". Lineage: Eukaryota; Viridiplantae; Streptophyta; Lycopodiopsida; Selaginellales; Selaginellaceae. The record is from RNAcentral.
AGCUGGAAGCUCGCAUAGCAGACUUUGGAGUUGCCAAGCUGAUGGACGUGUCUCGGAGUGCCAAAACCGUGUCGAGGAUCGCUGGCUCAUACGGCUACAUCGCCCCAGGUUUGUACCACCUUCUGUUUUCAUUGCCAUCCGUGACUUAGUGCUUUACGCAUCCCCUCCAGAAUACGGCUACACCUUAAAGAUCACCACCAAGAACGAUGUGUACGCAUUCGGUGUCGUGCUGCUCGAGAUCCUCACCAACAAACGAGCUGUAGAGCACGAAUUCGGCGAAGGCGUCGACCUCGUCAAGUGGAUACGCGAGCAGCUUAAGACGUCGGCUUCCGCGGUGGAGGUGCUCGAGCCGAGGAUGCAAGGAAUGCCCGACCCCGAAGUCCAGGAGAUGCUCCAAGUUCUCGGGAUAGCACUGCUUUGCACGAACUCCAAGCCAUCUGGAAGACCAACCAUGAGAGAAGUGGUUGUUUUGCUCAGGGAAGUGAAGCAUACCUCGGAGGAAUCGUCGGCUCUCAAGGUGUCAACACCGUUGAUAGCGAGCCAGAAAAGCAGCCAUCCGGAGGUACUCGAAGUUUCAUCGGUAUAGAAACUAGAAACCGGACGAAAUGUCCAUAUCCUGUAAUUUUGGUUGCCUUCCUCUUUCUCUCCUUCCGGAUAAAAGAACAAAAAAAAAAAAAAACACUUCUUCUGGAAAUUGACUGUCAGGAAGGACGCGAGAAAUAAAAAAUCACAUUCGAAUGAAUGAAGAUAUAUACAUGCACCACACAGAAAAGCUGCAAAGAAUAAAGAACAUUCAAGCGGCAAUCCUAUCCAUUAUCCAAUUUCCAGCGAAAAAUCACUGGCGAUGGAUUUACUCGCGCGCUAAAUCGCAGCGCGGCCAGAGAACGAGCAAGCAUGCGAUAAGAAGAAUCUCAAAGCCCUAAGAGAGUUACCUCGAUCAACGAAGCUCCAUCGCUUUGACCUAGCACUAAAAUAAGAA